Pelodiscus sinensis (Chinese soft-shelled turtle) is the source of this 1628-nucleotide long non-coding RNA. RefSeq lists it as uncharacterized. The record is from RefSeq and is a predicted model, not a curated record. NCBI's taxonomy places the organism in Eukaryota, Metazoa, Chordata, Testudines, Trionychidae.
GGUGCUCCACUUCAGAUGAAUUCAGAGCAGUAGCUGUGCAUAUGGAGGUGGGAUUGGAGUUACUGCUUUCUUGCUGUGGAUAGUACAGCAGAGGCUACUGCAGAGUCUCGAGCAAUUGCAUCGAUAGUGUAAUGCUUAGCAAAUGUCACGUCUGAUGACCAUUUGGCCGUACGACGAAUGUCCUGCAUCAGAACGCCCUAAGGAACGCGAGCGAUGAUGCUGUUGCUCUAGUCGAGUGGGCUGCGAGUGAGCUUGGAGUAGGCUUGUUUCUUUAAUUAUAGCACUUUGUAAUGCAGUUCACAAUUAAUUUGGAAAUGCAUUGUGACGACAGUGAUUGUCCCUUUGUUCUUUCGUCGGAACACAAAAGGAGGCAUUGCGUCUGAUGGAAAGGACGAGUCCUUUCUAAGUAAAAAGCCAACACCCUGCGGACAUCGAGUGCGUGCAAGUGGGCCUCGUGGGACAAUGGGUGUGGCUUGGGGCAGAAUAUGGGGAGUAUGAUCAGCUCAUUAAUGUGGAACUCAGUAAAAAUGAUGGGUGAGGCCGAAGGAUUACUCCCGUGUUUGUAAAUAGUGUGUAUGGAGGGUUGGCAGAGAGUGUUGCCAGCUCUCCUACCCUUUGGGCCGAAGUUAUGGCCAAGAGAAAGGCCAGUUUCAUGGUAAGUAAUUUUAUGUCACAGGUAGCUGAGGGUAUGAAGGGUGAGUAAGUAAGCAUACUGAGUACAAGUUCCAAGUCCCAAAGUGCAGUAAGUGUCCUGUGUGGAGGAUGUAGAUUUUCCAGUCCUUUCAGGAAGCGUUUUACAAGUGGGUGAGACAUUACUGAUAAUCCUUCUGUGGUUUUCUAAGCGCAGAGAUUGCUAAGAGGUGCACUUUAAUCAAGGAGACUGCCAGCCCCGUGUGAUGUAGGUGCAGUGAGUAAUCCAAGAUGCGGUGGAUCGGAAUGGACUCUGCGUCACAAUGACUGUCUACAUACCAAGCAUGGAAUCGACGCCAUUUGUAAAGGAGAGAAAGUUCGCUCCGCCUGCCACCUGUGGACGGUUAGGAGGAACUGGCGGGAGCCAGAUCCCGUGCAUGCUCAGAAGCACGUGAACAACCCAUACCCCGUGCAUGCGUGGGCUGGCCGAACCAUGGCUAACAACUUUCCAACCUGCGGUGCCGGGAUGUGGCCCAACACCUGAAGCGGAGCACCUACGGGAACACUACCCGAAGAAGAAUGUCAGUUACUAUUGAGAUACGCUGUGACAAUUGCCAGAACCUUUGAAAAGAUCCUCAGGGCCGCAGAGAGUCCAAAUGGAAGCACCUUGUAUUGGUAGUGUUGAGAAUCUACAACGAAACAAAGAAAACUUCUGUGAGCAAGGUGGAUGGUAAUGUGAAAAGUUGAGGGAUGAGAACCAAUCAUCCUGUUCCAAUGCUGAUAAUAUGGUAGCAAGCAUUACCAUCUUGAAUGUUUGUUUCUGAAUGAAUUUAUUGAGGGCUCAAAGGUCUAAGAUGGAAGGCCUCCAACCACACGACCUUUUUUUAAUCAAGAAGUAAUGGGAGUAGAAUCCCUUGCCCCUAAAUUGUGGGGGGAUGGGUUCAAUCAACCCUAUGUGUAAGACAUGCUCUAAUUCUUGUAGAAGAAGGAUCUUCUUU